Rhipicephalus sanguineus (brown dog tick) is the source of this 3328-nucleotide RNA transcript. RefSeq lists it as uncharacterized. The transcript has 4 exons. Lineage: Eukaryota; Metazoa; Arthropoda; Arachnida; Ixodida; Ixodidae. The record is from RefSeq and is a predicted model, not a curated record.
AGAUCCGCACUGCCCCGGUGCGGGCUAUGCACUCGUGCAGUCGGAGCGCUACAUCUUCGCUUUUUUGCUAAACCUAUGAAAGAAAAGCGUACUGGAAUCAGUGAACUAGCUAGUACUUAAUGGACUACUGUGACAUCCUCAGUAGCUGAAAUGGGCGUUGUGUAUAUUUCAAUAGUUUUCUUCUUCAGUCCGGUUCUCCUCGCUGAAGGCAGGAAUGUGAGAAACGAAAAAUGCUCAAAGGAAGUAACAGUGGAAGGCUGCGACACGGUGCUCUUAGGCUGGAGCUUUAGCCCACAGCAUAAUAAAUGCGUGAAAGGCUUCUCCUGCUCCGAUAUUGCAAACAGAUUUGAAAACGAAUGGCAAUGCAAGACGACAUGCCCUCCAGUCUCUGGCAGGAAACCAAAAGUUAAGGUACUGGUCAUGUGGAGCUGCCAAUUUUGGCUCAAGUAUGGCGGAGCGUGUCAAAAGCGCUGGUAUGAAUUCUACACUAACAAGAACGGCAGGAAGUGCAGAUUGCUUUAUUAUACGGGCUGUGAUGCCUGGAAACACAAGUUAUAUACAUUCGACUAUUGCAGGCGACGAUGCCGUGUGUACCUGGGCCGGCGAAAGAAAUAUCCUAAAUGAAACGACGAAACCUCGAAAUAUCUUCUGGUCGUUGUUUAAUAUAUUUGCCAUAGGUAAACGUGCGUUCAUAUUUCGGAAGAAAGCUACGGAGGAAAUAAGGCAAUUCUACCACGAUGCUAUGGGCCUGCUACCUUGUGCCUUGUUAUAUGCAGAUUAUAAAUAACGUGUGAUCGUUUCGUCAGGUACAUACAUACCUGAACGAAACGCGUGGUUCUGGCACGUAGCAGUGCACGCAAACUCACAUUAGGUUCGUCGAAGGCCUGAAGAAAGCCUUAAGGAGACAUCGCCUUCUGCGACAUAUAGAUAACAUAACCGGACCCAGGCCCGUAGCCAGGAAUUUUUUUCGGCGGUGGGGGGGCACUUGCUGAAAGCCUCGACUAUUCGAGAAAAACGCCUAUUUUCAUUAUAUAUUUUCGGUAAAACACAAUGUAUCAUAAAAAUUUCGGGGGGGGGGGUGCCCCCCCCCCCCUGGCUACGGGCCUGACCGGACCUUUCCUGAAUGGUAUGCACACAUAUCACAUCAUACAUAUAAUACACAUGGUACGCAUGAUAAAAACACGUAGGGUAAUUAUUCGUAUAAUUUGCGUACGAUACUGUUGCAGAAAUUUUGUACAUGUGUAGUGGAAAAAGCAAUUUUCGAGCCUCCUUGCUGUAAGAAAGACAAUGCGUAGGCUAAGCAUCCUUGUAUUUCGCAUUCCUCAUUGUAUUUCCCUUGGCUUUUUGUACGCAUCGUGUACUUCUUCCUCAUUUUUCCUCUACCGCGCGUUUCCUACGUGGGGCUUCGGUGAAGUGAUGCUGAAAAGAAAACAGCACGCUUCUUCAUCAGGGAUGCCGUGCACUCAUUACAUAGUCAAAUAAAUAGUCGUAUGUUUACGUCCGAAUAUAUGUGUGUAUGAACACAGAUAUCCGAACAAAACAGCAAAAUAUUUUCCAAUACUGGUGGUGUUUGCUGCCCCAAUUUCUUGAUGUUCAAGAGUAACUAACGUAGGUCGCACACAGGCAAACGCAUGGAAGCUAUUCUUAUGAACUGAACUUUUGCCCACUCGAGAUGCUUUAGCUAUGCUAAUGCCUGAAGAUUUUACCUGCAGUAACGCAUGUUAUCGGUAGCAAUGUCGAUUGGGGAAUAAAAAAAUAACGGCGCUAAUAAUGGGAAUGCCACUGGUUACCUGUAAAAAAAUAUAGUUCUCACUCGGGCUAUACUUACAGAAGAAAAUUGACUGUAUGGUUCACAGACUACACAACCAGUAAUUACCGGUUCUAUUGUCCUCUCAAUUCGUAUUUAGAGGACAGAAGAAAUGAUGUAAGUGGACUCUUCGGCAAAUGUGUAUGCUUGCUACGCCUUAACGAGAACUAUGAUUGCAUUAGUAAACGUGUUUUUGGUCGAGUGGGUUCAUUACUUGAAAAAGUAAAACCGUAGCGCGAAAGAAACAAGGACGAGAACAAGGACACAGAACUUGCGCGCAUCUUUUCCUUGUUUCUUUUGGCUGCGGUUUCUUUUUCUCAAGCUACGAGUGCCUAAUGGGCCAAACUUACAAUACGCAGCUUCGGCAUAACAAUGGCCCUGUGGCUUUCGUCUGGGAAGAAGGUCUUACGCUCGACUGUUAUUGUGACUAUUUUUGAACUGCACAAGAUUAAUCAUCUGAAAGUAGAGAGGCACCAUCUCCUUUACAUAAGUCUUAACUUGUAGUGCAAGCUUCCGCCUGUGUUAGUGCCUGUGCUAACACUGUGUUAACACAGCUACCACCUGCGUUAACGUAGGGCAAGCUACCGCCUGUGUUGACGCUGGACAGAGUAUUUACAUAGGUCGAGCGCAUGCAGGCUGUGAACUACUCCAGUUAUUCCAAAUGCUUACUAAUUUAAAGGGACACUAAAGAGCAAAACGAUUUAUUUCGCAUUAGUAAAGGAGUCUUCCACGAUACCAAAAACACCAGGCUUGCUGCGAGAACACGCUUAGUAAGCGAGAAAACGCGCAAAAAGAAAAUACAGGUGGCGACGCCACCUUGGAAUUCCCGCGCCAUUUGCCGUGACGUCACAUAUUUUUGACGGCGCCUGCUUGGGCCUACGUAGUUCCUAAUCGGUUAAAUCGAAGUACAUUGUCCUCUGAGGGGGCCAGAGACUUGACAUAACGAGUUUGUGGAAAUUUCGUCGAGCCAGUGGCGCCAAAAUACGUUAAAUGCUCUUUGAAACCUUUUACGUCACGAAUUACAAAGUUCACCGCGAAAUUUAAAAAUGAAACUUUGAACUUGGUUUUCUCCUGUAAUAUUGAACCUAUGGUGGUGAAAUAAACUACACAAGAGUUAUCCGAGCACACUUUAUUAGUAUAAACCAAUUCGUUGUUUCUCUUUAGUGUCCCUUUAAGGUAAAUCGUGCGAAAAACGUAUUCUUGACACCAACGUGCUUUAAAGUAAAUUAGAACUGUUUGGUUGACUGAAUAAUUCACGAAAAGCACAUAGCUAAAAUCUCAUGAGGGCAAUAAAAAAUGACUGUCGAUUUAUUGUUAUCUUUUUUUAACAGCAAAGCUGGUUAAGCCGGCCGUAAAGUGUCGACCCUUCCGCAAAAUUGUCACCAUCAUGAACGGGUAUGUGCCACAGAAUUCGGUCAAAUCCCACUGCUCAUUGCUACGCCGUGGCCUGUAAUAACCCUGAUGGGUGAGGGAACGCGUACAGAGAGAGAGAGAGAAAGAAAGAAAAAGCGAAACAGAGAC